This 372-nucleotide ribosomal RNA is filed under the name uncultured Glomeromycotina. Its description in RNAcentral is "LSU rRNA". The record is from RNAcentral. Lineage: Eukaryota; Fungi; Glomeromycota.
UUGAAAGGGAAACGAUUGAAGUCAGUCGUACCUAUGGGUAAUCAGCCUUUUGGGUGUGAUUUUGUGGAGCGUGAGGAGUUAAACGCCUUCAUGCCUGCAUAUUCGUGUACUUUGGGUGUACUUGCCCGUAUGGUUGGUUAACAUCAAUUUUGGUGGUCAUAAAAUGACUGGAGGAAUGUAGCUUCGAUCUCGUAUUGAAGUGUUAUAGCCUUCGGUAGAUGUGAUGAUCGAGAUUGAGGAUUGCAACGGAUACCUUCGGGGCUACCUGUCUGAUCUCUGAUCGUUGCUCUGGUGCCGAAAGCUUGCUUACGGUUAUCAAAGUCGAUGGUCAAUAGGUUAGAACGGGUUAAAUUCGUUAAGGAUGUUGACGUA